GGCCCCUCCUGUGACUAAAGAUCCCUCAUCAUUAAAGGCAACCCCAGGGAUUAAGGAUUCAUCAGCAGCACUUGCCACUUCUACAAGUCUUUCUGCAAAAAAUGUUAUUAAAAAGAAGGGAGAAAUUAUCAUUUUAUGGACAAGAAAUGAUGACCGGGAAAUUUUAUUGGAGUGUCAGAAAAGAGGGCCAUCAUUUAAAACAUUUGCAUAUUUAGCCGCCAAGUUGGAUAAAAAUCCAAAUCAGUCCUAUCAGAAAAAUAGAAUAAUAACUUUAGCAUUUUCUUACAUUACAGAUAAGUUGCUGAAUUCCUGGGACUCUUAACUGAUAUUGCAUACUACACAGAAGCUUCAAAUUCCUCAUGUUUUAAAUGAGCACUAGAGGGAGGUUUAUCACCUUUUUGGUUACCAGAUGAUAAUCUAUAUUUGUUAUUACUCAGUGACUCUCUAAUUUCACAUCAGCAUGUUCAGCUUGUGCUAGUCAUCAUUCUGAUUUGCUUAUCUGUUUUUGGUCAAAAUAUUUAUUUUUAAACAUGUUAGAACUUACCAAAAUGAAAGCAACAGUGAUGUAUUGAAAUCUUAGUUUUGAUAUUUUAAAGAAAUGACUUUCUAGAUUAAAAAAAUAGUUUUGUAGCAUUUUAAACUUAGUGACUAUUUAGUUCAAUUGUUCAUCCAUUUUUUAUUUGCUUUUAUAAUUGCCUCCUUGUUUUGGUAUAUUGUAAAAUAAUUUAAAUAAUGUAUUUAUAAAUAUGUAUAAUUAUGAUGUAAAAUACCGUGUGUAUAUGUAUGUAUGUGUGUUUCUGUAUAUGCACACACAUAAACGGCUUUGCCUAGCCAAGGAUUUUUUUUAUCUGUAUAAAACUUUUUGUAUAAAGUUUGCUUUCAAUAACAGUAAUGUAUAAUAAAACCAUGUAAAGUUUUG
Molecule: long non-coding RNA, 919 nt
Filed under: Homo sapiens (human)
Lineage: Eukaryota; Metazoa; Chordata; Mammalia; Primates; Hominidae
Description: HSALNT0109796
Source: RNAcentral